This 253-nucleotide ribosomal RNA is filed under the name uncultured bacterium. RNAcentral describes it as "partial 16S ribosomal RNA". It matches the Rfam family "Bacterial small subunit ribosomal RNA", at positions 524 to 776 of the family's 1533-position model. The record is from RNAcentral.
UACAGAGGGUGCAAGCGUUAAUCGGAAUUACUGGGCGUAAAGCGUGCGUAGACGGUUAUGUAAGUCAGGUGUGAAAGCCCCGGGCUCAACCUGGGAAUUGCAUUUGAGACUGCAUAGCUAGGGUGCGGAAGAGGGAAGCGGAAUUUCCGGUGUAGCGGUGAAAUGCGUAGAUAUCGAGAGGAACACCUGCGGCGAAGGCGGGUUGCUGGGCUGACACUGACGCUGAGGCGCGAAAGCUAGGGGAGCGAACGGG